Molecule: ribosomal RNA, 503 nt
Filed under: uncultured bacterium
Lineage: Bacteria
Description: partial 16S ribosomal RNA
Rfam family: Bacterial small subunit ribosomal RNA
Source: RNAcentral
AUUGAACGCUGGCGGCAGGCUCAACACAUGCAAGUCGAGCGGGGUGAUGGUGCUUGCACUAUCACUUAGCGGCGGACGGGUGAGUAAUGCUUAGGAAUCUGCCUAUUAGUGGGGGACAACAUCUCGAAAGGGAUGCUAAUACCGCAUACGUCCUACGGGAGAAAGCAGGGGAUCACUUGUGACCUUGCGCUAAUAGAUGAGCCUAAGUCGGAUUAGCUAGUUGGUGGGGUAAAGGCCUACCAAGGCGACGAUCUGUAGCGGGUCUGAGAGGAUGAGCCGCAACACUGGGACGGGGACACGGCCCAGACUCCUACGGGAGGCAGCAGUGGGGAAUAUUGGACAAUGGGGGGAACCCUGAUCCAGCCAUGCCGCGUGUGUGAAGAAGGCCUUAUGGUUGUAAAGCACUUUAAGCGAGGAGGAGGCUCUUUUGGUUAAUACCCAAGAUGAGUGGACGUUACUCGCAGAAUAAGCACCGGCUAACUCUGUGCCAGCCGCCGCCGUAA